This 1660-nucleotide long non-coding RNA is filed under the name Erythranthe guttata (spotted monkey flower). RNAcentral's name for it is "long non-coding RNA (EGUT_LNC002703)". The record is from RNAcentral. Lineage: Eukaryota; Viridiplantae; Streptophyta; Magnoliopsida; Lamiales; Phrymaceae.
UAGUCAAGACUAUUCCGGUAUUAUUUCGUUUCUGUUAUAGUUCCUUAUUUAAGGUUAAUCGUUCAUAUUCUUUGUACUGUACUUAAGCUCUCAAGGGAUGUCCGCUGUCAUUUUCUGUCACUUGAUUGUUUGUUGAACUUGCCCAUUUUCUUAUGUUUUAUGUUAUAUAUUUUGCAAGAACAAAGUUUCAAGGAUUUUCAUUCAGACUAGAAACAUUGGCAAAAGGUUAGGUUUAUUUUUGCAUUAUGUGUAUCCCUUAUUUUGUUUAUUUUGGGAAUAAGGUAUUUAUUGAGUUGGAGAGUCUUGAUAUCCAUUUGAACAAAGAGGCAAGAAUAAGUUUCACACACACAUACGCUCAAACAAUUGGGUAACUCUUGGAAUACAUAUUGAUUGAACUUCUUUAUUGGUUUGUUUUCUUUUAUUUUCUCCUUGUCUUCUGCUUAUUUUUGUUACGAGUUAUUGAAUUGAGAUUCUUGAUGCUAGGCAAAAAGAAAGAGACGAAAGAUUUCCUCCUCUGAUAUUCAGAGAAUUCGAAAGGCUCUUCGAGUACAUAUCAAUUGCCCUCUUUCAUUGGUAUAUUUUCCCUUUUUCCCUUGUUUUCUUAACUUGUUAUCGAUUGCCUCUUUCUUUCAUAUGUUUUCUUUUUCCCCCCGUUUUCUGUAACUUAUUUUCGUUUAUAUAUUAUCAACUUAUGUUGGUUGGCUAUUAUAUCGAGUUGUCUAUUAUAUUUGGUUAUCAGUUGUUUAUACUUCAAGAAAAUUGAUCUUUGGAGAGAAUUAAAGUGAAAAGAAUAAUCAUUUAUUUUGAUAUCUUGCUCAUUUUCCAUUGAAUCUCAAUAAGAGUAACUAGAACCUUCUGCUAUGUUUUGUUUUUGCCGAAUAAUAAGAGUUGAUCACUAUUAUUUGGUUGUUACUUGGAUGAGUCAAAGGGGGCAAGUUGAUAAGAUUACGUUUGUAAAUGGUUAAGAUUACAAAUAGUUUUAUUAAUCUUAAUUUUUCAGCAAGUGGUUGUUUCGGUAUAUUAUAAGUUUUUCAAUUGUUUGUGGUACUUAUUGAUGAGAGGUACACUUUUGUGGGAGAUCUUAUGUUACGUUUUGUUUUUAUAUGUUCACUUUUGUGGGAGAUCUUAUGUUACGUUUUGUUUUUAUAUGUUUACUCAUUACUGAAAGUAUUGUUAUUAUAACUUGGUUUUUUAUUGCACUAAGUAAUGUGUAUUUUUGUACAUGCAGGUUGCUUAUACAACUGCUUUGAAUGAUUAAUUUCAUUGUUGAUCCAAGCCAUCUAGAAUAUAGUGGGAGGGAAUCAUCAUGUUUAAGUUUCUAGUGUUAGAUAUAAGAAUAUUAGUUAAUCCUGAUAUUUGGAUUCUAUGUUAUAGGAUUAUGACUCUCAUUAUGAUAUUCAGUACUAGCUUGACUGAUCAGAUACAUUUGAAAUUUUGAUUAAUGAAAGUCGAGAAUGUUGUUAUAGUUUGUUUGUUGUUUACACUUAUAUUUUGUGUAUAUUUUAAUAAUGCUAGCAGGAUAUGAAGUGUACAUAUGAUGACGUGUAUACUGUCCCAAUAUCAAAUUCUUGCAACAUAAAUAAAUGUCUCUACGUCUACGUAAGUGUCCCCAAAAGAUGAUUAGCAAAAAUAUGGAAUUCUUAAGAGGAUACAUAUUUGU